This 254-nucleotide ribosomal RNA is filed under the name uncultured bacterium. RNAcentral describes it as "partial 16S ribosomal RNA". It matches the Rfam family "Bacterial small subunit ribosomal RNA", at positions 524 to 776 of the family's 1533-position model. The record is from RNAcentral.
UACGGGGGGAGCAAGCGUUGUUCGGAUUUACUGGGCGUAAAGGGCGCGUAGGCGGCCACCGCAAGUCGACUGUGAAAUCUCCGGGCUUAACUCGGAAAGGUCAGCCGAUACUGCGGGGCUAGAGUGCAGAAGGGGCAACUGGAAUUCUCGGUGUAGCGGUGAAAUGCGUAGAUAUGUGGAGGAACACCGAUGGCGAAGGCAGCCCCCUGGGUCAAGACUGACGCUCAUGCACGAAAGCGUGGGGAGCAAACAGG